RNAcentral lists this ribosomal RNA (497 nucleotides) under uncultured bacterium. RNAcentral's name for it is "partial 16S ribosomal RNA". It matches the Rfam family "Bacterial small subunit ribosomal RNA", at positions 28 to 507 of the family's 1533-position model. The record is from RNAcentral.
GAUGAACGCUGGCGGCGUGCCUAAUACAUGCAAGUCGAGCGAACAGACGAGGAGCUUGCUCCUCUGACGUUAGCGGCGGACGGGUGAGUAACACGUGGAUAACCUACCUAUAAGACUGGGAUAACUUCGGGAAACCGGAGCUAAUACCGGAUAAUAUAUUGAGCCGCAUGGUUCAAUAGUGAAAGACGGUUUUGCUGUCACUUAUAGAUGGAUCCGCGCCGCAUUAGCUAGUUGGUAAGGUAACGGCUUACCAAGGCAACGAUGCGUAGCCGACCUGAGAGGGUGAUCGGCCACACUGGAACUGAGACACGGUCCAGACUCCUACGGGAGGCAGCAGUAGGGAAUCUUCCGCAAUGGGCGAAAGCCUGACGGAGCAACGCCGCGUGAGUGAUGAAGGUCUUCGGAUCGUAAAACUCUGUUAUUAGGGAAGAACAAAUGUGUAAGUAUCUAUGCACGUCUUGACGGUACCUAAUCAGAAAGCCACGGCUAACUACGUG